This 253-nucleotide ribosomal RNA is filed under the name uncultured bacterium. RNAcentral describes it as "partial 16S ribosomal RNA". It matches the Rfam family "Bacterial small subunit ribosomal RNA", at positions 524 to 776 of the family's 1533-position model. The record is from RNAcentral.
UACGAAGGGUGCAAGCGUUAAUCGGAAUUACUGGGCGUAAAGCGCACGCAGGCGGUUGGUUAAGUCAGAUGUGAAAGCCCCGGGCUCAACCUGGGAAUUGCAUUUGAAACUGGCCAACUAGAGUACGUGAGAGGGGGGUAGAAUUCCAAGUGUAGCGGUGAAAUGCGUAGAGAUUUGGAGGAAUACCAGUGGCGAAGGCGGCCCCCUGGCACAACACUGACGCUCAGGUGCGAAAGCGUGGGGAGCAAACAGG